RNAcentral lists this ribosomal RNA (699 nucleotides) under Rhodobacter sp. EMJ5. RNAcentral's name for it is "bacterial SSU rRNA". It matches the Rfam family "Bacterial small subunit ribosomal RNA", at positions 116 to 873 of the family's 1533-position model. Lineage: Bacteria; Pseudomonadati; Pseudomonadota; Alphaproteobacteria; Rhodobacterales. The record is from RNAcentral.
GGUGAGAUCGUGCCCUUUGGUUCGGAAUAACCCUGGGAAACUGGGAGUAAUACCGGAUGUGCCCUUCGGGGGAAAGAUUUAUCGCCAAAGGAUCGGCCCGCGUUGGAUUAGGUAGUUGGUGAGGUAAUGGCUCACCAAGCCGACCAUCCAUAGCUGGUUUGAGAGGAUGAUCACCCACACUGGGACUGAGACACGGCCCACACUCCUACGGGAGGCAGCAGUGGGGAAUCUUACACAAUGGGGGAAACCCUGAUCUAGCCAUGCCGCGUGAUCGAUGAAGGCCUUAGGUUGUAAAGAUCUUUCAAAUGGGAAGAUAAUGACGGUACCAUCAGAAGAAGCCCCGGCUAACUCCGUGCCAGCAGCCGCGGUAAUACGGAGGGGGCUAGCGUUAUUCGGAAUUACUGGGCGUAAAGCGCACGUAGGCGGACUGGAAAGUCCGAGGUGAAAUCCCAGGGCUCAACCUUGGAACUGCCUUUGAAACUCCCAGUCUUGAGGUCGACAGAAGUGAGUGGAAUUCCCAGUGUAGAGGUGACAUUCCUCAUAUUCGGAGGAACCCACUGGCGAAGGCGGCUCAUGGCUCCACCUGACGCUGAGGGCGAAACCUGGGAGCAAACGGAUUAAUACCCUGGUGUCCCGCGGUAAGGAUAAUGCCGUCCUCGGUAUCUGCCAUUCCUGAUACCCGACGGACAAGCAUUCGCC